AGAGUUUGAUCCUGGCUCAGAACGAACGCUGGCGGCAGGCUUAACACAUGCAAGUCGAGCGCACCAUUUAUGGUGAGCGGCAGACGGGUGAGUAAUGUAUGGGGAUCUACCUAUUACUACGGAAUAACACAGAGAAAUUUGUGCUAAUACCGUAUAGUUCCGAGAGGAUAAAGAUUUAUCGGUAAUAGAUGAGCCCAUAUUAGAUUAGCUAGUUGGUAAGGUAAAGGCUUACCAAGGCGACGAUCUAUAGCUGGUCUGAGAGGAUGAUCAGCCACACUGGGACUGAGACACGGCCCAGACUCCUACGGGAGGCAGCAGUGGGGAAUAUUGGACAAUGGGCGCAAGCCUGAUCCAGCCAUGCCGCGUGAGUGAUGAAGGCCUUAGGGUUGUAAAGCUCUUUCGCCGGUGAAGAUAAUGACGGUAACCGGAAAAGAAGCCCCGGCUAACUUCGUG
RNAcentral lists this ribosomal RNA (453 nucleotides) under uncultured Hyphomicrobiales bacterium. RNAcentral describes it as "bacterial SSU rRNA". It matches the Rfam family "Bacterial small subunit ribosomal RNA", at positions 8 to 507 of the family's 1533-position model. Lineage: Bacteria; Pseudomonadati; Pseudomonadota; Alphaproteobacteria; Hyphomicrobiales. The record is from RNAcentral.